UACAGAGGGGGCAAGCGUUAUUCGGAAUUAUUGGGCGUAAAGGGCGCGUAGGCGGCAUGGCAAGUGGAUGGUGAAAUCCCCCGGCUCAACCGGGGAACUGCGUCCGAUACUGGUGGGCUCGAAUCCGGGAGAGGGAUGUGGAAUUCCAGGUGUAGCGGUGAAAUGCGUAGAUAUCUGGAGGAACACCGGUGGCGAAGGCGGCAUCCUGGACCGGUAUUGACGCUGAGGCGCGAAAGCCAGGGGAGCAAACGGG
This 253-nucleotide ribosomal RNA is filed under the name uncultured bacterium. Its description in RNAcentral is "partial 16S ribosomal RNA". It matches the Rfam family "Bacterial small subunit ribosomal RNA", at positions 524 to 776 of the family's 1533-position model. The record is from RNAcentral.